Molecule: ribosomal RNA, 276 nt
Filed under: uncultured gamma proteobacterium DCM-ATT-7
Lineage: Bacteria; Pseudomonadati; Pseudomonadota; Gammaproteobacteria
Description: partial 16S ribosomal RNA
Source: RNAcentral
CNGGUUACCUUGUUACGACUUCACCCCAGUCAUGAAACACAAAGUGGUAAUCGUCCUCCCGAAGGUUAGACUAACUACUUCUUUUGCAUCCCACUCCCAUGGUGUGACGGGCGGUGUGUACAAGGCCCGGGAACGUAUUCACCGCAGUAUUCUGACCUGCGAUUACUAGCGAUUCCGACUUCAUGGAGUCGAGUUGCAGACUCCAAUCCGGACUACGACAUUCUUUAAGGGGUCCGCUCCACAUCACUGUCUCGCUUCCCUCUGUAAAUGCCUUGU